RNAcentral lists this ribosomal RNA (912 nucleotides) under Triticum aestivum (bread wheat). RNAcentral's name for it is "partial small subunit ribosomal RNA". The record is from RNAcentral. Lineage: Eukaryota; Viridiplantae; Streptophyta; Magnoliopsida; Poales; Poaceae.
CUAAACAGAGUAUGACAGGUCAACUAGUUAGGACAUACUAAUCAAGCAUUUAUAUUAAUACUUCUCAAAGUGAUAAGGUAUCAACUAGUUAGGACAUACUAAUCAAGCAUUUAUAUUGAACUUCGAAACUGAACCAAACAGUAGGAUAUUACACUUAUCAAAACUGAACAUUACAUAGUACUGAUUAUUACACUUCUGAAGGUUACAGAAAUUUGAGAGAGAGAGAGAGAGCAGCAAGGUUGGGAAAGGAGCAGCGGUAGGGGUGUGAGGAGAGAAGCAGCAGAAGUUUUCUGGUUCAGAAAAGAAGACAACAGCAAGAGGCGUGGGCAAGAAGAGAGCAGCAGAAGCAAGUUGAGGACAGCAGCAGCAAGGCAGAGAAAAGAGAGAGCAGCAACAGAAGGUUCCUGGGAGAGGGAGCAGCAGCAGAUCACGGGAAAAGGAGUAGCAGGAGGAGUGGAGAUCAGCAAGGGGGCGAAGUAGGAGAAGAGCAACAGUAAAGGGAUUGAAGGAGGAGAAGAGAGGUGGAGGAGCAGCAAGGGGAAGAAGAAGGGCAGCAGCAAGGCAGGGGAAGAAGAAGGCAGCGGCAGAAGGCAAGGUCGCGCGGGGCACCAGACCCCUGGUCUGGUAGGGCGCACGAGCGAUGAUGGUGAAGGGGUGGCGCUGAUGGAUGGUGCAGCGGCGCGAGGUGGUGAUGGAGUGGAUGGAUGGUGGUGUAUGGAGGUGCUGGUGGACGGAGGGCGCGGUGGAGCGGUGGCGCGCUGCCACGCCGGCCUGGCCGCGGCGACGGCCAGAGGUGGAGAAGGUUGGGGGAGAGGGAGAUGGAGAUGCCAGGCUCGAUUUGGGAAUGGAUGCAUCUAGGGAUUUUGAUCCCCAUCUGAUCUGCCACUUUUAUGAUUUGGCCCUCCUCUUCUA